UAAAAAAUUGGAUGCGAUGAAGAAAUGGGUACUAUGUGGGCACUUAACCAUUUCGGAGCAAGUAGUGCAACCGGCCGGACGAAUC
Molecule: non-coding RNA, 85 nt
Filed under: Salisediminibacterium beveridgei
Lineage: Bacteria; Bacillati; Bacillota; Bacilli; Caryophanales; Bacillaceae
Description: Bacillus beveridgei c-di-GMP-II sequence
Rfam family: Cyclic di-GMP-II riboswitch aptamer
Source: Rfam by way of RNAcentral